GGGCCGGGGUCAGGCUUGGGGACGAAGCUGGCGGUGGUGGUGAUGAAACUGGCGGUGGUGGAGGUGGUGAAACUGGCGGUGGCGGAGGUGGUGAAGGUGGCGGCGAAGGUGGCGGCGAAGGUGGCGGCGAAGGUGGCGGCGAAGGUGGUGGUGAAGGGGGUGGCGGCGAAGGUGGUGGUGAGGGGGGUGGCGGCGAAGGUGGUGGUGAGCGGGGUGGCGGUGAAGGUGGUGGUGAGGGGGGUGGCGAACGUGGGCGCGGCGGUGGGCGUGGGGACGGGGGUGGAGGCGAUGG
Molecule: long non-coding RNA, 292 nt
Filed under: Volvox carteri
Lineage: Eukaryota; Viridiplantae; Chlorophyta; Chlorophyceae; Chlamydomonadales; Volvocaceae
Description: long non-coding RNA (VCAR_LNC000535)
Source: RNAcentral